Molecule: transfer RNA, 93 nt
Filed under: uncultured Solirubrobacterales bacterium
Lineage: Bacteria; Bacillati; Actinomycetota; Thermoleophilia; Solirubrobacterales
Description: tRNA-Ser-GGA
Rfam family: tRNA
About the family: Transfer RNA (tRNA) molecules are approximately 80 nucleotides in length. Their secondary structure includes four short double-helical elements and three loops (D, anti-codon, and T loops).
Source: RNAcentral
GGAGAGGUGCCGGAGCGGCUGAACGGGCACGACUGGAAAUCGUGUGACGGGGUGACCCCUCGUCCGAGGGUUCGAAUCCCUCUCUCUCCGCUA